Molecule: ribosomal RNA, 424 nt
Filed under: uncultured prokaryote
Also listed under: 1 other name
Description: bacterial SSU rRNA
Rfam family: Bacterial small subunit ribosomal RNA
Source: RNAcentral
UGAGGAAUAUUGGUCAAUGGACGCAAGUCUGAACCAGCCAUGCCGCGUGCAGGAUGAAUGCCCUCUGGGUUGUAAACUGCUUUUAUCAGGGAAUAAACCUUUCUACGUGUAGAAAGCUGAAGGUACUUGAUGAAUAAGCACCGGCUAACUCCGUGCCAGCAGCCGCGGUAAUACGGAGGGUGCAAGCGUUAUCCGGAAUCAUUGGGUUUAAAGGGUCCGCAGGCGGAUUUAUAAGUCAGUGGUGAAAUCUCUCGGCUCAACCGAGAAACUGCCAUUGAUACUGUAAGUCUUGAAUUCGGUCGAAGUGGGCGGAAUAUGACAUGUAGCGGUGAAAUGCAUAGAUAUGUCAUAGAACACCGAUAGCGAAGGCAGCUCACUAGGCCUGGAUUGACGCUCAGGGACGAAAGCGUGGGGAGCAAACAGG